CGGAGGGUGCAAGCGUUAUCCGGAUUUACUGGGUUUAAAGGGUGCGUAGGUGGGUUUGUAAGUCAGUGGUGAAAUCUCCGAGCUUAACUCGGAAACUGCCAUUGAUACUAUAGAUCUUGAAUUAUCUGGAGGUAAGCGGAAUAUGUCAUGUAGCGGUGAAAUGCUUCGAUAUGACAUAGAACACCAAUUGCGAAGGCAGCUUACUACGGAUAUAUUGACACUGAGGCACGAAAGCGUGGGGAUCAAACAGGAUUAGAUACCCUGGUAGUCCACGCCCUAAACGAUGGAUACUCGACAUCAGCGAUACACUGUUGGUGUCUGAGCGAAAGCAUUAAGUAUCCCUCCUGGGAAGUACGAUCGCAAGAUUG
This 368-nucleotide ribosomal RNA is filed under the name uncultured organism. RNAcentral describes it as "bacterial SSU rRNA". It matches the Rfam family "Bacterial small subunit ribosomal RNA", at positions 526 to 896 of the family's 1533-position model. The record is from RNAcentral.